CUGAGCCGCGUCGCUUUGGGGAUGGGGGUGGGGGGGUAAGGGGAGAAUUUCUUCCCAGUCUCUGUGUCACCCACCCAGGGUAUGGUCCUUCCUGCCGCCCACCAAUUCAUUUCCUUCCCGGUGGAUAAAUCACUUGGAUUCCGCGCGCCUGCCACCUCCAGCAGGUUCUCAGGAUCUGGGGGCGAAGUGGGGCGCGCUCCCACCGACUGGCGUCGAGCACAAGAGACCCUCCCUCAUCUCAGGUGAGACUUUCCGCCCAUCAAUAUCAGCUCCGUGCCCUUGAUUCAGGAUCGACAGAAAUCCAGACCAGUGAAUUUCCUUUUGACUUCAGUUCAUGGUAAGCUUUUUAUUUAAGUACAACAUAUACGGAAGGGGGGCAGAGCACAGGGGGAAUGCCCCAGUGAAGCCAGCGCCCAGAAGCCCCUUUGCACCUCCUCCCACCAGCCCAGGGCAAAAUGAUCUUGACUUCUAACUCUAGAUGUUAGUUUUCGCCUGUUUUUGAACUUCGUAAGCCUCAAAUCAGGCAAGAUGUACUUUUUUCCUAUCUGACUUCUGCUCUGUGAAUCUAAUGCGUGUGACACUCUUCCGCGUCCUUGGGUGCCGCUGGAUCUGUCCCUUCUCACUGCUGUGUAUUCAACGCAACUGUGUGAUCAGACUAUCACUGCUCCUGGGAACCCUGGGCCUUUGCAUUGCCUCCAGUUUGGGGCCGUAAGUCCUGCUCUGAACGUUCGUCUGGGAUGGACACAUGUGCUUAUUUUCUAUUCGUUAUUUACCCAGGAGUGAAAUUGUCAGAUCAUAGAAUAUGUAUAUGCUCCGCUUUCGAAAAUACUAACCAGAUGUGUUGCGGGCCACUCCUGAAAAAAAAAAAGUUGAAAACCGUUAGAGGUUCCACUUUUUUCGUCCUCAUCAUGAAAAUAGGUUGUAAAGAGUCCCUUGGUGGUGGCGGGGGGGGGGGGGGUGGUGAUGAAAAAUAAAUAUUCUUAGAGCUGAAGUUACUUACUCUAUGGAGGAGAAGAACAUCAAGGAGAAAACUGGCCCUCUUGUCCGCCAAUGGGCAGGCAUUUGGGGAAGCCUGAGGAAGUGUCUUCCCAGUUUGUCAUUUUAAAAUUAAAACCUGCCACGUGGCUCCAUCCAGAGGACUGCAAGUGUCUCAGCCGUCUCCAAUCUACCCCCACCCCCGCCCCCCAAAGGCAUCUCUCAGCUCAGGUUUCCAGAAAUCCAGACUGCAUCCCCACCAUUUUCAGGCUAGAUGCUAGGUAUACUCUGGAAGAUGCUGACUUUCCAGGAGCUGCCUAGAAGCCUCAAGAGCCAGAGAAGCCGUUGUUCAGGACAUAAAUCCUCGAGGUGCACACAGAUUUGGAAGCUAGAGUUCUAAUGGGUGAUGUUAUUUCCCCCUUUGGGUCCUGGUUCCUCCAUCCGCAAGAUGGGUAUAAGAAUGAGAGUCCAUAGGCUGCUGGGCUAGUGAACAGGAGAGCCUGGAAUGCAUGAACCCCAGUUAGCGCAUUGCUCGGGGCUUGAUCCUCAGUAAAAUAUUA
Mustela erminea (ermine) is the source of this 1535-nucleotide long non-coding RNA. RefSeq lists it as uncharacterized. The record is from RefSeq and is a predicted model, not a curated record. The transcript has 3 exons. Lineage: Eukaryota; Metazoa; Chordata; Mammalia; Carnivora; Mustelidae.